GCGGGUGUGGUGGAACUGGCAGACACGCCAGAUUUAGGAUCUGGUGCCGCAAGGCGUGGGGGUUCGAGCCCCUCCACCCGCACCA
This 85-nucleotide transfer RNA is filed under the name Desulfuromonadales bacterium. Its description in RNAcentral is "tRNA-Leu". It matches the Rfam family "tRNA". Rfam says of the family: Transfer RNA (tRNA) molecules are approximately 80 nucleotides in length. Their secondary structure includes four short double-helical elements and three loops (D, anti-codon, and T loops). The record is from RNAcentral. Lineage: Bacteria; Pseudomonadati; Thermodesulfobacteriota; Desulfuromonadia; Desulfuromonadales.